CUAAGAAUAUUCCGCAAUGGACGGAAGUCUGACGGAGCGACGCCGCGUGGAUGAAGAAGGCUGAAAAGUUGUAAAAUCCUUUUGUUGAUGAAGAAUAAGGGUGAGAGGGAAUGCUCAUCUGAUGACGGUAAUCGACGAAUAAGCCCCGGCUAAUUACGUGCCAGCAGCCGCGGUAACACGUAAGGGGCGAGCGUUGUUCGGAAUUAUUGGGCGUAAAGGGCAUGUAGGCGGUUGUGUAAGCCUGGUGUGAAAUCCUGGGGCUUAACCCUAGAAUAGCAUUGGGUACUGCACGACUUGAAUUACGGAAGGGAAACUGGAAUUCCAAGUGUAGGGGUGGAAUCUGUAGAUAUUUGGAAGAACACCGGUGGCGAAGGCGGGUUUCUGGCCGAUAAUUGACGCUGAGAUGCGAAAGUGUGGGGAUCGAACA
RNAcentral lists this ribosomal RNA (427 nucleotides) under uncultured Treponema sp. Its description in RNAcentral is "bacterial SSU rRNA". It matches the Rfam family "Bacterial small subunit ribosomal RNA", at positions 355 to 774 of the family's 1533-position model. The record is from RNAcentral. Lineage: Bacteria; Pseudomonadati; Spirochaetota; Spirochaetia; Treponematales; Treponemataceae.